GAUGAAGAACGUAGCGAAAUGCGAUACGUAAUGUGAAUUGCAGAAUUCAGUGAAUCAUCGAGUCUUUGAACGCACAUUGCGCCCCCUGGUAUUCCGGGGGGCAUGCCUGUCCGAGCGUCAUUGCUGCCCUCAAGCACGGCUUGUGUGUUGGGCCUCCGUCCUCCUCCCGGGGGACGGGCCCGAAAGGCAGCGGCGGCACCGCGUCCGGUCCUCGAGCGUAUGGGGCUUCGUCACCCGCUCUUGUAGGCCCGGCCGGCGCUUGCCGACACAUCAAUCUUUUUUCCAGGUUGACCUCGGAUCAGGUAGGGAUACCCGCUGAACUUAAGCAAAUCAAUAAGCGGAGGA
RNAcentral lists this unclassified non-coding RNA (345 nucleotides) under soil metagenome. Its description in RNAcentral is "partial contains 5.8S ribosomal RNA, internal transcribed spacer 2, and large subunit ribosomal RNA". The stretch from base 1 to 120 matches the Rfam family "5.8S ribosomal RNA", at positions 35 to 154 of the family's 154-position model. The record is from RNAcentral.